This 455-nucleotide ribosomal RNA is filed under the name uncultured bacterium. Its description in RNAcentral is "bacterial SSU rRNA". It matches the Rfam family "Bacterial small subunit ribosomal RNA", at positions 340 to 786 of the family's 1533-position model. The record is from RNAcentral.
UACGGAAGGCAGCAGUGGGGAAUAUUGCACAAUGGGCGCAAGCCUGAUGCAGCCAUGCCGCGUGUAUGAAGAAGGCCUUCGGGUUGUAAAGUACUUUUCAGCGGGGAGGAAGGCGAUGUGGUUAAUAACCGCGUCGAUUGACGUUACCCGCAGAAGAAGCACCGGCUAACUCCGUGCCAGCAGCCGCGGUAAUACGGAGGGUGCAAGCGUUAAUCGGAAUUACUGGGCGUAAAGCGCACGCAGGCGGUCUGUUAAGUCAGAUGUGAAAUCCCCGGGCUUAACCUGGGAACUGCAUUUUGAACUGGCAGGCUUGAGUCUCGUAGAGGGGGUGAAUUCCAGGUGUAGCGGUGAAAUGCGUAGAGAUCUGGAGGAAUACCGGUGGCGAAGGCGGCCCCUGGGACGAAGACUGACGCUCAGGUGCGAAAGCGUGGGGAGCAAACGAGGAUUAGGAUACC